This 301-nucleotide ribosomal RNA is filed under the name uncultured bacterium. RNAcentral's name for it is "partial 16S ribosomal RNA". It matches the Rfam family "Bacterial small subunit ribosomal RNA", at positions 509 to 807 of the family's 1533-position model. The record is from RNAcentral.
CAGUCGCCGCGGGAAUACGAAGGGUGCAAGCGUUAAUCGGAAUUACUGGGCGUAAAGCGUGCGUAGGCGGUGAGUUAAGUCUGUUGUGAAAUCCCCGGGCUCAACCUGGGAAUGGCAAUGGAUACUGGCUCGCUAGAGUGUGAUAGAGGAUGGUGGAAUUCCCGGUGUAGCGGUGAAAUGCGUAGAGAUCGGGAGGAACAUCAGUGGCGAAGGCGGCCAUCUGGAUCAACACUGACGCUGAGGCACGAAAGCGUGGGGAGCAAACAGGAUUAGAUACCCCGGUAGUCCCUGUCUCUUAUAC